RNAcentral lists this unclassified non-coding RNA (326 nucleotides) under soil metagenome. RNAcentral describes it as "partial contains 5.8S ribosomal RNA, internal transcribed spacer 2, and large subunit ribosomal RNA". The stretch from base 1 to 120 matches the Rfam family "5.8S ribosomal RNA", at positions 35 to 154 of the family's 154-position model. The record is from RNAcentral.
GAUGAAGAACGUAGCGAAAUGCGAUAAGUAAUGUGAAUUGCAGAAUUCAGUGAAUCAUCGAAUCUUUGAACGCACAUUGCGCCCCUUGGUAUUCCGAGGGGCAUGCCUGUUCGAGCGUCAUUAUAACCCCUCAAGCUCAGCUUGGUGUUGGGGCCUGCCGCACGGGCAGCCCUUAAAAUCAGUGGCGGUGCCAUCUGGCUCUAAGCGUAGUAAUUCUUCUCGCUAUAGAGUCCCGGUGGAUGCUUGCCAUUAACCCCCAAUUUUCUAUGGUUGACCUCGGAUCAGGUAGGGAUACCCGCUGAACUUAAGCAUAUCAUAACGGAGGA